CUACGGGUGGCUCCAGUGAGGAAUAUUGCACAAUGGGGGGAACCCUGAUGCAGCAACGCCGCGUGGAGGAUGACGCAUUUCGGUGUGUAAACUCCUUCUAUAUGUCAAGAAAAUGACGGUAGCAUAUGAAUAAGCACCGGCUAACUCCGUGCCAGCAGCCGCGGUAAUACGGAGGGUGCAAGCGUUACUCGGGAUCACUGGGCGUAGAGGACGCGUAGGCGGGUUGGAAAGUCAGGUGUGAAAUCCUACAGCUUAACUGUAGAACUGCACUUGAAACUUCUAAUCUAGAGUAUGGGAGGGGGAGAUGGAAUUAGUGGUGUAGGGGUAAAAUCCGUAGAUAUCACUAGGAAUACCUAAAGCGAAGGCGAUCUCCUGGAACAUUACUGACGCUAAGGCGUGAAAGCGUGGGGAGCAAACAGGAUUAGAUACCCCCGUAGUC
Molecule: ribosomal RNA, 439 nt
Filed under: uncultured bacterium
Lineage: Bacteria
Description: partial 16S ribosomal RNA
Rfam family: Bacterial small subunit ribosomal RNA
Source: RNAcentral